RNAcentral lists this ribosomal RNA (3129 nucleotides) under Triticum aestivum (bread wheat). Its description in RNAcentral is "partial small subunit ribosomal RNA". Lineage: Eukaryota; Viridiplantae; Streptophyta; Magnoliopsida; Poales; Poaceae. The record is from RNAcentral.
AUGGAGGAGCCGCUUGAUGAGAAGGAUUUGGAAAGGAAGCUGAAGAAAGAGCAGAAGGCGAAAGAGAAGGAGGAGAAGAAGCUCAAGGCGAAGCAGAAGGAGGCGGCCAGGCUACAGGUCCAAUCAGCAUCUGAUGGAGCUAACAAGAGUGAGAAGAAGCAAAAGAAGAAAGGCGCCACCAAUGAGAAUCCUGAGGAUUUCAUUGAUCCAGAUACUCCCACUGGACAGAAGAAACUGAUUGCUUCUCAAAUGGCCAAACAUUACAGCCCGUCUGCUGUUGAGAAAUCGUGGUAUCCUUGGUGGGAGUCAUCACAGUAUUUUGUAGCAGAUGCCGCAAGCUCAAAGCCACCGUUUGUAAUAGUCCUGCCACCUCCAAAUGUGACAGGACCCCUUCACAUAGGCCAUGCAAUUACAGUGGCAAUUGAGGAUGCUAUGAUCCGCUGGCGGAGGAUGUCAGGCUACAAUGCUUUGUGGAUUCCUGGAAUGGAUCAUGCUGGUAUAGCUACACAGGUCGUUGUGGAAAAGAAGAUCAUGCGUGAGAGGAAGCUGUCAAGGCAUGAUCUAGGGCGUGAUAAAUUUCUAUCUGAGGUCCACAACUGGAAAGAUCAGUAUGGUGGCACCAUAUUGAGACAAUUGCGUAUGCUUGGAGCCUCGCUUGACUGGUCGCGCGAAUGUUUUACAAUGGAUGAGCAGAGAUCAGAGGCUGUAACAGAAGCGUUUGUUAGGCUAUACAAGGAAGGUUUGAUAUAUAGGGAUAUUCGUCUCGUGAACUGGGAUUGCACGCUCCGUACAACAAUUUCUGAUAUCGAGGUUGACCGUGUUGAUCUCAAGGCAGAGACUUUGUUAGAGGUCCCUGGUUAUAGCAACCCAGUUCAGUUUGGUGUUUUGACAUCUUUUGCCUAUCCUCUAGAAGAAGGAUUGGGUGAAAUUAUCGUUGCAACAACUAGAAUAGAAACUAUGCUCGGUGAUACCGCUAUAGCUGUUCAUUCUCAGGAUGAAAGAUAUAAGCAUCUGCAUGGAAAAUAUGCCGUCCAUCCGUUUAAUGGCCGAAAACUUGAAAUAAUUUGCGCUGAUGACUUAGUGAAAGCCACUUUUGGUACUGGCGCUGUCAAGAUCACACCAGCUCAUGAUAGCAAGGACUUCAAGGUUGGGAAACAGCAUAACCUGGACUUUAUCAAUAUUUUCACUGAUGACGGGAACAUAAAUGAAAAUGGAGGUCCACAAUUUGAAGGAAUGCCACGUUUUACCGCUCGAGCUGCUGUUAUUGAUGCACUAAAGGAAAAGGGUCUAUACAGAGGCAUGGAAAAUAAUGAUAUGGAAUUAGGACGUUGUUCGAGAACUAAUGAUAUUGUGGAGCCAAUGAUCAAGCCCCAAUGGUUUGUUAAUUGUAAUACCAUGGCAAAGGCAGCUCUUGAUGCUGUGAAAUCCAAAGAGAUAGAGAUCAUUCCACCACAAUAUGAGCAAGACUGGUACAGGUGGCUUGAAAACAUACGCGAUUGGUGUAUUUCAAGACAACUUUGGUGGGGACACCGUGUACCUGCUUGGUAUGUGACAUUAGAAGAUGACAAAGAGAAAGACAUGGGUUCGUACAUUGACCACUGGAUAAUCGCAAGAAAUAAAAGUGAUGCAGUACUGGAGGCAAAACAGAGGUACCCAAAGAAGAAAUAUCAGUUGGAUCAAGAUCCUGAUGUGUUGGACACAUGGUUUUCAGCUGGUCUUUUCCCCCUAACUGUACUUGGUUGGCCGGACAAUACAGCUGACCUUAGUACUUUCUACCCUACUUCUGUACUUGAAACUGGAUUGGACAUCCUCUUCUUUUGGGUAGCAAGGAUGGUGAUGAUGGGAAUGCUACUCCACGGUGAUGUGCCAUUUCGAAAGAUUUACUUGCAUCCAAUUAUUCGUGAUGCACAUGGCCGCAAAAUGUCCAAGUCACUAGGAAAUGUCAUUGAUCCCAUUGAUGUAAUAAAUGGUAUAACACUGGAAGGUCUUCAGAAAAAGUUGGAACACGGCAAUCUGGACCAAGGCGAAUUGGAAAAGGCAAAAGAAGGUCAAAAGAAGGAUUUCCCUGAUGGUAUUCCUGAGUGUGGUACUGACGCCCUUCGUUUUGCUCUGAUCUCCUACACUUCUCAGUCCGACAAGAUAAACCUGGAUAUCAAGCGAGUGCAUGGGUACAGACAAUGGUGCAAUAAACUGUGGAACGCCAUUCGUUUUGCGAUGGUUAAGCUUGGAGAUCAAUACACUCCACCAGCAACUCUCGCGGUGCAUAGUAUGCCGCCCAUCUGCAAAUGGAUACUCUCAGUACUUAGUAAGGCUGUUGGCAAGACCGUGUCAUCAUUAGAAGCAUAUAAGUUCUCCGACGCGACGUCAUCUAUAUACUUCUGGUGGCAAUACCAGCUUUGUGAUGUCUUUAUAGAAGCAAUUAAACCUUACUUCAAUGGAUCUCAAGAGUUCGAAUCUGCAAGAUGUGCUUCUAGAGAUACACUAUGGGCAUGCCUGGACACUGGUUUGCGUCUUCUCCAUCCAUUCAUGCCUUACAUAACAGAAGAGCUUUGGCAGCGCCUUCCUCAGCCUAAGGAGGCUUGUAGGAAAGAUUCCAUUAUGAUAUCAGAAUACCCCUCAGCUGUACAGGAAUGGGCAAAUGAUGAAGUUGAGAACGAAAUGGAGAUUGUGUUAGAUGCCGUGAGUAAGCUGAGAUCUCUCCUGCCACCAACAGAUAUACAUCUAAGGCGCCCAUGUUUUGUGCUCUGCCGAAACCUAGAGGUUGCAGCCACUGUUGGAUGCUACCAAGCUCAAAUUGCAACGCUUGCUUCUGUAUCAUCUCUUGAGAUCCUGACAGAGGAUGAUCCAACUCCACCCGAUUGUGCCACAAAUAUUGUAAACAAAGAUCUAGCCGUGUAUCUCCAGCUCCGGCGGGCUCUCAACACGGAAGCUGAACAUGAGAAGCUUAGGAAGAAGAGAGAGGAAGUUCAAAAGCAAUAUGACACCCUGUCACAGAAAAUGAGUGCAUCAGGCUACCGUGAGAAGGCCCCACAGAGCAAGCAGGAUGAUGAUAUGAAAAAACUUGCUACUCUGUUGGAGGAGCUCGAGAUCAUCAGCGAAGCUGAGAGUAAACUGGAUGCAAAAAACUGA